Molecule: ribosomal RNA, 501 nt
Filed under: uncultured bacterium
Lineage: Bacteria
Description: bacterial SSU rRNA
Rfam family: Bacterial small subunit ribosomal RNA
Source: RNAcentral
GAUGAACGCUGGCGGCGUGCCUAACACAUGCAAGUCGAACGAAGCACAUACGACGGAACUCUUCGGAGGGAAGAUGUAUGUGACUGAGUGGCGGACGGGUGAGUAACGCGUGGGUAACCUGCCCUAUACAGGGGGACAACAGUUGGAAACGACUGCUAAUACCGCAUAAGCGCACGGUAUCGCAUGAUACGGUGUGAAAAACUCCGGUGGUACAAGAUGGACCCGCGUCUGAUUAGCUUGUUGGUGAGGUAACGGCCCACCAAGGCGACGAUCAGUAGCCGGCCUGAGAGGGUGAACGGCCACAUUGGGACUGAGACACGGCCCAAACUCCUACGGGAGGCAGCAGUGGGGAAUAUUGCACAAUGGACGAGAGUCUGAACCAGCCAAGUAGCGUGCAGGAUGACGGCCCUAUGGGUUGUAAACUGCUUUUAUAAGGGAAUAAAGUGGGAGUCGUGACUCUUUUUGCAUGUACCUUAUGAAUAAGGACCGGCUAAUUCCGUG